AGCACGGACUUCGGUCUGGUGGCGAGUGGCGAACGGGUGAGUAAUGCGCCGGAACGUAUCCAGUAGAGGGGGAUAACGCAGCGAAAGCUGUGCUAAUACCGCAUACGCCCUGAGGGGGAAAGCAUGGGAUCUUCGGACCAUGCGUUAUUGGAGCGGCCGACGUCUGAUUAGCUAGUAGGUGAGGUAAAGGCUCACCUAGGCGAUGAUCAGUAGCUGGUCUGAGAGGAUGAUCAGCCACACUGGAACUGAGAGACGGUCCAGACUCCUACGGGAGGCAGCAGUGGGGAAUUUUGGACAAUGGGCGCAAGCCUGAUCCAGCCAUUCCGCGUGAGUGAAGAAGGCCUUCGGGUUGUAAAGCUCUUUCGGCAGGGAAGAAAAGGUUCUGGUUAAUAGCUGGAACUGCUGACGGUACCUGAAGAAGAAGCACCGGCUAACUACGUGCCAGCAGCCGCGGUAAUACGUAGGGUGCGAGCGUUAAUCGGAAUUACUGGGCGUAAAGGGUGCGCAGGCGGCUCUGUAAGUCUGACGUGAAAUCCCCGGGCUUAACCUGGGAACUGCGUUGGAAACUGUAGAGCUAGAGUGUAGCAGAGGGGGGUAGAAUUCCACGUGUAGCAGUGAAAUGCGUAGAGAUGUGGAGGAAUACCGAUGGCGAAGGCAGCCCCCUGGGCUAACACUGACGCUCAGGCACGAAAGCGUGGGUAGCAAACAGG
This 710-nucleotide ribosomal RNA is filed under the name uncultured bacterium. RNAcentral's name for it is "bacterial SSU rRNA". It matches the Rfam family "Bacterial small subunit ribosomal RNA", at positions 71 to 776 of the family's 1533-position model. The record is from RNAcentral.